This 1563-nucleotide long non-coding RNA is filed under the name Homo sapiens (human). Its description in RNAcentral is "HSALNT0097385". Lineage: Eukaryota; Metazoa; Chordata; Mammalia; Primates; Hominidae. The record is from RNAcentral.
CUCAGGAUGACUAAUGUGCACCUCUGGGGGCAGAUGAAUUCUGGAAUCUUCUUUGUGGAAAAUGACUGCUUGAAGGAAAGCUCCAACCUCCUGCCCAAAGAUGCACAGGGCACAACUCUGAGUCCAAAUUUGUACCUAUUUGAAUUUGGAUUAGAAAACCUGAACCAGCUGGCGAGAGCUCAGAAUUUUCCUGUGACCUCAAGAGGGCAAGCAGCAGCUGUAACCUCACCUUUGCCUCCAGAUGGCAUUGUUGCCACAUCAUCGUUUCCUGCAGAGUAUGGAAUGAAACAGAGUUCUGAAAUACUGCCUGUUCUUUGCUAAGGAACUGAGCACGUCUGAAGAAGUCUUGACUCCCAUGGGCACCCCAGGCCUCCAAACAAACUUCUGGUCUUCCUUGUCAUCCUGCCUGUGUCAACUCCCCACCAUGAGUUUAGCAAACUUAACACAACCCUAUCCCUGAUGGUUCUUGCACAGCAGAUGAACGGGUGAACCAAGGAAACUGCACUCAAAGAAAUGUCUUGUAACGGCUCUAACUUUGGUUUGGCAUGUCACCUUUCUAACGAUAUCAGGCAGAGGAAAUAUUCCGUCAAAGCUGUGAGUGUGGAAGGAAACAGCCUGGAAGGGGUCCAAAGACACACUGUAUCUUAGCAACUUUGGAGGUUCAGAAAAGCCAACAUAUCAGUUUGGGAAGCCGGCGGGUGGAGGUUCCACCCUACCCAACCACGAAUCACUGAAAGACACUCCCCAAGGUGAAGACGCAACCGUCUUCAAGAUCUGCCACCUAAGCUGCUGAAAAAUCAAAUGGCUCUCAGUGAGCAGGGAAUGAUACUCUCAUGAAAACAAGAUAAAAUGACGACGUCAAAAACCCAAAACAGGAAACAAUCAUAACCAGGUGAAGUCAAACACAGAAUGACUGAAAAAUGCCUUGCAGGAGCAUGUUGGGCCAAUUAAAAAUGUUAAACAAGCACAAAAUUAACUUCCACAAGAAGCAAAGGACAGCAGGAAUGUGGGUACUGUCUAUUCCAAGACCUUCGCUUGAGGUCUAAGGGUCUGGGUUUUGGAGAAUCCUUCUUUCUUAUCUCUGGAGAAUGGGCGAACUCUAAAUAUCCACUAAAGAAGUCUCGGGUGUCACCUUGUAGCCCCUAACCUUGUCUUUUGUAGCAAAGUGGCAAGUAUAUAUUUGGGUCGGGGGAGGUCUAAAUGAACUUGACUGAUAUUGACCUACAUCCUCGACAUUCUCUUCCCAAUUUGAUGCUGAUUGUAAAUCCUAACAAUCUAAACCCUGGCCCCUCUAAGCACAAUUCUGAAGCCCAGUGUGGAUCCUAACCCUCAGAGAACAUGGUAUAUAAUUGCCAUAUAGGUAGAAAUCCAUUCCCUGCUCUAAAGCCCAACUAAGGUUAUCUGUAGUUCCACUGUUCCUUGCUCUUAGGCAAUUAAGUCAUCACAUAGGUGAAACAUGUCAUUUCAAUGGAAGAGAAGAAGUGGGUGCUUUUAAAGCCUUUUCUUUCCUCUAAGGACUUAUUGUCCUUAAAACAUCAUUCAGUGGCAAUUAAAAAUAGGAAA